GAGCUGAGUGAGUUUAUCUGCUGGUGUUCAAUACAAGGCUCAGACCAGAGAAGCUUUGCUCCCAGGAGCUUUCCUAACAGGAGUUUGCAAACAGAUAAUGAAGGAGUUUUGCAGGAAUUUAGCCGGAGAUUGGCAGGAAAUUCUGUGGGGAGGAACACAAGUAGUGUGGGGAGGCACACAAUGCAAGAAUGCGGCUGAAGUGGACUCUUUCUUUUGUUUCAAAAAGAAAUCAGCACCUAGGUGGAGGCGUUGUACACCCAAAGGAAUUAGAGGCAAUUGAUUUAAAGGGAAAUGGAAGAUUAAGCUCAAAGUGUGGGAGCACAGACACGGUUUAUUACAGCUAUUGUGGUAGAGAAGAAUCAGGCAAGUUCUUGGUGUAAGCAGGAGUGAUCUAUCCAAACUGCAAUAACAGUGGCUGUGUCUGUAUAUUUCCCUGCAAGGCGAU
Long non-coding RNA from Hemicordylus capensis (graceful crag lizard), 445 nucleotides. RefSeq lists it as uncharacterized. The transcript has 3 exons. The record is from RefSeq and is a predicted model, not a curated record. NCBI's taxonomy places the organism in Eukaryota, Metazoa, Chordata, Lepidosauria, Squamata, Cordylidae.